RNAcentral lists this ribosomal RNA (253 nucleotides) under uncultured bacterium. RNAcentral's name for it is "partial 16S ribosomal RNA". It matches the Rfam family "Bacterial small subunit ribosomal RNA", at positions 524 to 776 of the family's 1533-position model. The record is from RNAcentral.
UACAUGGGGUGCAAACGUUGCUCGGAAUCAUUGGGCGUAAAGCGCGCGUAGGCGGUUACACAAGUUGGAUGUGAAAGCCCUCGGCUUAACUGAGGAAGUGCAUCCAAAACUGUGCAGCUAGAGUACUAAAGAGGGUCGCGGAAUUCCCGGUGUAGAGGUGAAAUGCGUAGAUAUCGGAAGGAACACCGGUGGCGAAAGCGGCGCGCUGGACCCCUUCUGACGCUGAGGCGCGAAAGCCAGGGGAGCAAACGGG